RNAcentral lists this long non-coding RNA (545 nucleotides) under Monodelphis domestica (gray short-tailed opossum). RNAcentral describes it as "lncRNA (ENSMODG00000048021.1)". The record is from RNAcentral. Lineage: Eukaryota; Metazoa; Chordata; Mammalia; Didelphimorphia; Didelphidae.
AAACCAUCAAGUACCCAAGUUUGACUGUAGUUUGAAAGAAUAUAAACUUCUUGAGGUCCAGGAUUGUAACAUCUUUUUACCUAGUACAGUACCUGGCUCCCGUUGAGGAAAGUUGAGGCAGACAGACGUUCAAUGUGAGCCAUUAAGCACCUGAAGCCAUGUUUGGAGUUGGGUCUUCCUCAUCCCAGGACCAGCGCUCUGUCCACUGUGCCACCUCGAUGCCUUUUAGCAACAAGAAGAUGAAGAAACUGAGGCCCAAAGGAAGAAAGUGAUUUCUUCAAGUUGACACAAGUAGUAAAGCCCAAUUUUGAGAUCAGGUUUGAAUCUAUGUUCUCUGACUUUAAAUCAACACUCUUUCUAGGUCCCCUGAAGGAAAGAAUUCUCUUGAUUCUUUUGAAUUGUUUCCCUUAGAUCUUGAAACCAAAAUGUUAAAAUUAUGGGAAAUGUCUCCCAUACCGAACCAUAAAGGGUCAGCUUGAACUUCUGCACUUCUUCAACAACUUUAAAACAGUAAAUUAUCAAAAAUAAAGAAUAAUACAUUUACA